This 253-nucleotide ribosomal RNA is filed under the name uncultured bacterium. RNAcentral's name for it is "partial 16S ribosomal RNA". It matches the Rfam family "Bacterial small subunit ribosomal RNA", at positions 524 to 776 of the family's 1533-position model. The record is from RNAcentral.
UACGGGGGGGGCAAGCGUUGUUCGGAAUCACUGGGCUUAAAGGGCGCGUAGGCGGCUCGCGAGGUCGGGGGUGAAAUCCCACGGCUUAACCGUGGAAGUGCCUUCGAUACCGGCGGGCUCGAGGAAGGUAGGGGUGCGCGGAACUUCUGGUGGAGCGGUGAAAUGCGUUGAUAUCAGAAGGAACGCCGGCGGCGAAAGCGGCGCACUGGAUCUUUUCUGACGCUGAGGCGCGAAAGCCAGGGGAGCAAACGGG